This 751-nucleotide long non-coding RNA is filed under the name Homo sapiens (human). The record is from RNAcentral. Lineage: Eukaryota; Metazoa; Chordata; Mammalia; Primates; Hominidae.
AGUUCCCGCCUCGCGGUGUGUGCCUGCCCCGCUGCGAUGGAGGUCCUAAGAGCAAGGGGGGGAAGAGGGGCUGGCUCUGGUAGAUUGCAAAUGACCUGCUUUUUUUCUGAUCCCGAGCUGCGUUCGGACCCCUGUCGGAUAGUAAAUCCCAGUAAGGUACCUGCCGUGGGCAGAUCUGAGCUUUCUUCUUGGACACCCCAUACCCACAGUCCUCCAGGCCACCCUUAAGUACAAUGUUCUCCUACCUAAGAAGGCAUCUGGAUUUUCUCUUUCCUUGGAAAUAGUAAAGAACUACUCUUUGACUGUUUUUGACCUCACAGUGAACCUCAAAUACACUGGAAUUCGCAAUAAAUCCAGUAUGGUGGUUAUAGAUGUAAAAAUGCUAUCAGGAUUUACUCCAACCAUGUCAUCCAUUGAAGAGCUUGAAAACAAGGGCCAAGUGAUGAAGACUGAAGUCAAGAAUGACCAUGUUCUUUUCUACUUGGAAAAUGUUUUUGGUCGAGCAGACAGUUUCACUUUUUCUGCUGAGCAGAGCAACCUUGUGUUCAACAUUCAGCCAGCCCCAGGCAUGGUCUACGAUUAGUACGAAAAAGGUGGAGAAGCAUUUCUUUUAACAAACUGAUUCUUCUGUAUCAAACCUGGAAAAAAAUCAUGAACCAUCUGACAUCGUGAACAGUCUGCAGUGGGCUAUGGUUUCUUGACAAGUCUUAUUUCCUUAUCAUCCCAUUAAAUGUUGUCAUUUUGCAUCUGA